UACGGAGGGUGCUAGCGUUGUUCGGAAUUACUGGGCGUAAGCGCGCGCAGGGGGUCACCAGCAUCGGGGGUGAAAGCCCCCCGCUCAACGGGGGAGGGUCCAUCGAGAUGGGGUGACUGGAGGCAGGGAGAGGCCAGUGGAAUUCCGGGUGUAGUGGUGAAAUGCGUAGAGAUCCGGAGGAACACCAGUGGCGAAGGCGGCUGGCUGGACCUGACCUGACGCUGAGGCGCGAAGGCGUGGGGAGCGAACGGG
Molecule: ribosomal RNA, 252 nt
Filed under: uncultured bacterium
Lineage: Bacteria
Description: partial 16S ribosomal RNA
Rfam family: Bacterial small subunit ribosomal RNA
Source: RNAcentral